UAUUAAGUGGCUGAACUUUAAGCACUAGACUUUUAAUCUAGAAAAUGAUUUUAUAUAAAUCCUUAAUAU
RNAcentral lists this transfer RNA (69 nucleotides) under Euprymna morsei. RNAcentral's name for it is "tRNA-Lys". It matches the Rfam family "tRNA". Rfam says of the family: Transfer RNA (tRNA) molecules are approximately 80 nucleotides in length. Their secondary structure includes four short double-helical elements and three loops (D, anti-codon, and T loops). The record is from RNAcentral. Lineage: Eukaryota; Metazoa; Mollusca; Cephalopoda; Sepiida; Sepiolidae. RNAcentral also lists the same sequence under 1 other name.